This 82-nucleotide transfer RNA is filed under the name Candidatus Rifleibacteriota bacterium. Its description in RNAcentral is "tRNA-Leu". It matches the Rfam family "tRNA". Rfam says of the family: Transfer RNA (tRNA) molecules are approximately 80 nucleotides in length. Their secondary structure includes four short double-helical elements and three loops (D, anti-codon, and T loops). Lineage: Bacteria; Candidatus Rifleibacteriota. The record is from RNAcentral.
GCGAGGAUGGCGGAACUGGCAGACGCGCAAGACUUAGGAUCUUGUGGUUUAUACCGUGCGGGUUCGACCCCCGCUCCUCGCA